Molecule: ribosomal RNA, 971 nt
Filed under: Geastrum benitoi
Lineage: Eukaryota; Fungi; Basidiomycota; Agaricomycetes; Geastrales; Geastraceae
Description: LSU rRNA
Rfam family: Eukaryotic large subunit ribosomal RNA
Source: RNAcentral
UCUGACCUCAAAUCAGGUAGGAGUACCCGCUGAACUUAAGCAUAUCAAUAAGCGGAGGAAAAGAAACUAACAAGGAUUCCCUUAGUAACGGCGAGUGAAGAGGGAAAAGCUCAAAUUUGAAAUCUGGCGGCCUUCGGUCGUCCGAGUUGUAAUCUAGAGAAGUGUUUUCCGCGCUGGACCGUGUACAAGUCCUUUGGAACAAGGCGUCAUAGAGGGUGAGAAUCCCGUCUAGGACACGGACUACCAGUGCUUCUGUGAUACACUCUCAACGAGUCGAGUUGUUUGGGAAUGCAGCUCAAAAUGGGUGGUAAAUUCCAUCUAAGGCUAAAUACAGGCGAAAGACCGAUAGCGAACAAGUACCGUGAGGGAAAGAUGAAAAGCACUUUGGAAAGAGAGUUAAAAAGUACGUGAAAUUGUUGAAAGGGAAACGCUUGAAGUCAGUCGCGUCUUCAGAAACUCAGCCUGGCCCCUCGCGGGGUCUGGUGUACUUUUCUGUGGGACGGGCCAGCAUCAGUUUCGGCCGGCAGAAAAAGGGGAGAGGAAGGUGGCACCUCCGGGUGUGUUUAUAGCCUCUCGUCGCAUGUGCCGGCUGGGACUGAGGACCGCAGCACGCCCUGAAAGAAGGGCCGGGGUUCGCCCACGUAACGUGCUUAGGAUGCUGGCGUAAUGGCUUUAAGCGACCCGUCUUGAAACACGGACCAAGGAGUCUAACAUGCCUGCGAGUAUUUGGGUGGCAAACCCAUAUGCGGAAUGAAAGUGAACAGUUGGGACUUCUGUCAUGGAAGGCACCGACGCCCGGACCGGAGCUACUGCGAUGGAUCCGAGGUAGAGCAUGUAUGUUGGGACCCGAAAGAUGGUGAACUAUGCCUGAGUAGGGUGAAGCCAGAGGAAACUCUGGUGGAGGCUCGUAGCGAUUCUGACGUGCAAAUCGAUCGUCGAACUUGGGUAUAGGGGCGAAAGACUAAUCGAAC